AAGAUGCUUUAAGGAAAUUGAAGAUCUCCGACGAUCCCUUUCAGAGAGGCCAGACUCAGUGCCAGUUUUGUCAGAUGAUGACAAUGUUGUUGGAUUUGGGGCAUGAGCACAGGACACCUGGAGGAUGAUCUGGAAUACCAGGGCUUAUGGGUAUGCUGCCUUUAUAAUGGGGAAGAGCUAUGUUCCUGGAAGUAAAAUGUACUGCUUGCAGCAAUAUAUUUUAAAGCAUAAAAAACAGGUGACCAUUGCUACACCUUCACCCUCACAAUCAACUCCCUCCACAACUUCCACUUCACACCUUUUCUCUGAUUAUCCAUUAAUGGAGGAGGAUGAGAUGAUGCUGAGUCUGUCUCCACCCAAUUAUCUAGUUCAACCUGUUUAUGGCAUAUUAAAUAGCACAUACUAGAGUUAUACUAAACAAAUUCUAUUGUAUAUUUCAGAGUCAUCUGCAGCCACUCGGUGUCCAGUCUUCUCCACAGCACGAGGUUAUUUUCCACAUCAGUUUUGGAGCCGUAUGCUGUUACCCACAGAUUUAUCCUUCAUAACUCUUUUUCAUACCUUUUUUAUUGUUUUGGCAGUGUUUUUGCCUGUUCUAAAACUUGUGUUCUUUUGUUAUACUAACAAUUGGUAAAGGUUGAACAUAUCACUGUUGAGGGGUCACGUGGAAACCUGGAGCCUAUCCCAGGGAUCAUCGGG
Molecule: long non-coding RNA, 696 nt
Organism: Ictalurus punctatus (channel catfish)
Lineage: Eukaryota; Metazoa; Chordata; Actinopteri; Siluriformes; Ictaluridae
Source: Ensembl